UACGUAGGGUGCGAGCGUUGUCCGGAAUUAUUGGGCGUAAAGGGCUCGUAGGCGGUUUGUCAUGUCAGGAGUGAAAACUCGGGGCUCAACCCCGAGCCCGCUUCUGAUACGGGCAGACUAGAGGUAUGCAGGGGAGAACGGAAUUCCUGGUGUAGCGGUGAAAUGCGCAGAUAUCAGGAGGAACACCGAUGGCGAAGGCAGGUCUCUGGGCCACUACUGACGCUGAGAAGCGAAAGCGUGGGGAGCGAACAGG
This 253-nucleotide ribosomal RNA is filed under the name uncultured bacterium. RNAcentral's name for it is "partial 16S ribosomal RNA". It matches the Rfam family "Bacterial small subunit ribosomal RNA", at positions 524 to 776 of the family's 1533-position model. The record is from RNAcentral.